RNAcentral lists this ribosomal RNA (383 nucleotides) under uncultured eukaryote. RNAcentral describes it as "partial 18S ribosomal RNA". It matches the Rfam family "Eukaryotic small subunit ribosomal RNA", at positions 592 to 976 of the family's 1831-position model. The record is from RNAcentral.
CAAUAGCGUAUAUUAAAGUUGUUGCAGUUAAAAAGCUCGUAGUUGGAUUUCUGGCAGGAGCGACCGGUCACACACUCUGUGUGUGAACUUGCGUUGUCUCUGGCCAUCCUUGGGAAGAUCCUGUUUGGCAUUAAGUUGUCGGGCAGGGGAUACCCAUCGUUUACUGUGAAAAAAUUAGAGUGUUUAAAGCAGGCUUAUGCCGUUGAAUAUAUUAGCAUGGAAUAAUAAGAUAGGACUUCGGAACUAUUUUGUUGGUUUGCGUUACGAAGUAAUGAUUAAUAGGGACAGUUGGGGGUAUUCGUAUUUCGUUGUCAGAGGUGAAAUUCUUGGAUUUAUUGAAGACCAACUACUGCGAAAGCAUUUGCCAAGGAUGUUCUCAUUAA